AUCGCUUCUCGGCCUUUUGGCUAAGAGCAAGUGUAGUAUCUGUUCUUAUCAGUUUAAGUUGUAUGGUGGAGAACCUCUAACGGGGAGCUGUCAGCUCUAUUUGAGGAGAGGGUGAGGGUGCCAUAAAAUACUUCAUAAAGACAUUGACCCUUGGCUAACUCUU
RNAcentral lists this small nuclear RNA (163 nucleotides) under Suricata suricatta (meerkat). RNAcentral describes it as "U2 spliceosomal RNA (ENSSSUG00005004401.1)". It matches the Rfam family "U2 spliceosomal RNA". From Rfam's summary of the family: U2 is a small nuclear RNA (snRNA) component of the spliceosome (involved in pre-mRNA splicing). Complementary binding between U2 snRNA (in an area lying towards the 5' end but 3' to hairpin I) and the branchpoint sequence (BPS) of the intron results the bulging out of an unpaired adenosine, on the BPS, which initiates a nucleophilic attack at the intronic 5' splice site, thus starting the first of two transesterification reactions that mediate splicing. Lineage: Eukaryota; Metazoa; Chordata; Mammalia; Carnivora; Herpestidae. The record is from Rfam by way of RNAcentral.